AGUUAGUUAGUUAGUUAGUUAGUUAGUUAGUUAGUUAGUUAGUUAGUUAGUUAGUUAGUUAGUUAGUUAGUUAGUUAGUUAGUUAGUUAGUUAGUUAGUUAGUUAGUUAGUUAGUUAGUUAGUUAGUUAGUUAGUUAGUUAGUUAGUUAGUUAGUUACCAGUCUCCCUCCCAGCUCGGGUUCGAGUCCCGAGGUGGAGAUUCCUGAGGACUUCCAUCUCCCCUUCUUUCCCGCCAAGGACGAGAGAAAGUGCAGUUCGGGGCUGAGUGCCGUGACCGUCUUCUUUGUGUUUCAUCCCACAUCUGCUGUACGGCCAAGGCAAGGUCACUCUGGGCAGCCUCAGUCUGAGGACCAGAACACGCAGAGUGCCUUCAGUGGACCUGUCAGAUAAUGUCUGUGCGGACCCCAGGCUCUCCUUCUGUUCCUCUCAUGCCUGCGUGGCGGUUGGACUUGCUGCACCCGACUGCAGGAACUGAGACGAUCACGGGCCUACAAGCAUCGCCAGGGUAGGCUGAUUUAGAAAGAUAAAUGACUGGAUUUCCCACAACGGAUUUCACCGGAGGAAUGAGAUUCAA
Molecule: long non-coding RNA, 574 nt
Filed under: Pogona vitticeps (central bearded dragon)
Lineage: Eukaryota; Metazoa; Chordata; Lepidosauria; Squamata; Agamidae
Description: lncRNA (ENSPVIG00000018459.1)
Source: RNAcentral